This is a long non-coding RNA of Megalobrama amblycephala (Wuchang bream), 740 nucleotides long. RefSeq lists it as uncharacterized. The record is from RefSeq and is a predicted model, not a curated record. NCBI's taxonomy places the organism in Eukaryota, Metazoa, Chordata, Actinopteri, Cypriniformes, Xenocyprididae. The transcript is spliced from 4 exons.
UCAGUUUUAGGUCGGGUUAUCCUGAGUAGGCCUGUGAGACGGUUAGGUUUAGGGUCAGUUUUAGGUCGGGUUAUCCUGAGUAGGUCUGUGAGACGGUUAGGUUUAGGGUCAGUUUUAGGUCGGGUUAUCCUGAGUAGGCCUGUGAGACGGUUAGGUUUAGGGUCAGUUUUAGGUAUAUAGGUAAAAGCGAGUUUCACCCUCAUUAAUUCGACCCUCAUUAGCAUAUGCGAUCUGAUUGGCCGAAGCUUACCUGGCCGUAUCUUUUGAAGCGGAGGUCCGACGUGCACAUAAGUGGUAUCGUUGGAUUCAGAAAUCUGUCUUCUUUCAGGUAGCGUGGAUGUCUGGAAGACAGGUAUAUAGAUAAAAGCGAGUUUCACCCUCAUUGGUUCCACCUUCAUUAGCAUAUGCGAUCUGAUUGGCCAAAGCUUACCUGGCCGUAUCUUUUGAAGCGGAGGUCCGACGUGCACAUAACUGGUAUCGUUGGAUUCAGAAAGCUGUCUUCUUUCAGGUAGCGUGGAUGUCUGGAAGACAGGAUGUUGCUAGGGUAAAUUUUAGGUCGGGUUAUCCUGAGUAGGUCUGUGAGACGGUUAGGUUUAGGGUCAGUUUUAGGUCGGGUUAUCCUGAGUAGGCCUGUGAGACGGUUAGGUUUAGGGUCAGUUUUAGGUCGGGUUAUCCUGAGUAGGUCUGUGAGACGGUUAGGUUUAGGGUCAGUUUUAGGUCGGGUUAUCCUGAGUAGGCCU